GCAAAAAAUCAAGAGCCUGCAGGCAGAUGCUAAUUAUAGGUGUUCUUAUAUUCUCUUAUCAGUUUUUGAAGUCACUUACAUUACAUUGGCAAUACACAUAAACAAUGUAGGCAAUUACAACUUCUCAAUCUCAUGCUCCUUAUCAAUUAAUUAAAUUAAAUCUCCCCACAGUCAACUAUUUGAAUUGUUUCUACAUUAAUGGAAUUAUAUGCAAUUUAAUUGACUUGCAUAGCUAGCAACUGUUAGGUUCUUUGUAACAUUCAGCAGCAGAAACACCUGACAGGAUUCUUGCCUUUCCUUCGCAUGUACUUUGCCUUUUCUUUCACUUCAGCUUCUUCAUUUCUCCUUUUCUCCUCUAAUUGUGCUCUUGCUCCUCCAACAAUCGCAUCAAUUCUCUCUACAUUGAUUUGGUAAUGCUGCAAGUUUCUUGACUUUCUCAGCUCCAGUUCAUUCUGCAGGUCCAGCAUUCAGGAGAGUUACUUACUAAACAUUUUCCUUUCUCGAAGUUGAUCACACAAAAAGUCAAGGGUAAACCUUUUUCCUUUCCAUGUGGAGUUUGGCUUCCAUCUUCUUUUCAUUCUCCCAAGCAAAAACUUUUGAUUUCUUCUUCUCAUACCUGAAGUUUUAAUUUAUUAUCAAACACAAAAAUACUAAAACCAGCAUCCAAAACGAUGAAAAAUACAUGAAACAUUGAAAAAAAAAAUGUGCUUCAAAAACGGUUAUUAUAUGGUGUUCGGUUUGAACUACUUUGCCAUUUCAUUUCAAAUAGCCAAUAUCACCUCUUAUUGAUCUUCCGUAAUUGAGCCUUCUCCCAAGAAUCAAUUUUGGAUUCCACAACUUCGCUUCUUGUUGAAGUGCCCUUCCGCCUUUGAUCUGUUGAGGCCAUAGGUUUUGUAGAGGCUAAACGACUAGGUUUUCUGGCAGGCAUAAAGGUGCCUUGUACCCUAUGAUCCUGCUCUGCUGGAUUUCGGAUUGAAGAUUCACCUGCAUGUUUCACUUCCUUGCUAGAUGAUGGUCUAGUUACUCUAACAGAACCAGCUGAGCUAUCCUCUUUUCUAGUUCUGAUUUCUGUUUUUGACUUCCCAAAGUCCCCUCUGAUCUUUCUCCUGUAUUCCUCUCCUGCUUCUUCCAGAGUGUAAAUAGCAAAUGCAGUAGCAGCCACAGCAGCUGCAAACUCACUAUCAUACUCCCAACUCAUCUGCCUAUAAAGCUGCUUUUGGAACCAGUUCUGACCUUUAUCUCUUUUGAAGAAUUCUGUAUUCUGAGCACUGCUAGAGUCCUCCUGUUCUGGACCAGAGAAUCUCACUCUACCAAGACAGCAAGUAGAUACUUCAAUCAAGAAGAAGAAGAAGAAUAUUUCUGGAAAGAUGGCUGAUAUGAAGAGGGUUUUCGCUUCCAAUUUUAGUGCAACUUUCUGCUAAUUAAAUCUUCUCUAAGAUGUAGGAAUCCUUGCCUCUUUUGCUUUAGUAAAUACUCCAUGCGCUCGUCAAUUUCUUGUCUGAUAUUUUUUCCAGCCUUUUUUCAGGUGGGAAAUUGUUUGAUUGCUGAGAAACUAGAAUAAAAGGCCUGGGAAGGAUGUCCUGAGACUCUUAUAAGGACUUUAGCCCAUGAUCAGGAGACUGGUGCAAGCAAAGAUGAAUAUGCUUUGCAAUUUGUACGAAGCAUAUUUAAGCUUUUGAGGGAAGCAAAGGAUCUUUACCCCUUUCCAUGCACCAACUGUCAAGUUGUUUCCCAUUUCUAACUCCUCUUUUUCCCUGUCUUCACUGAAAUGAAUAAUCAAUUGCAAGUAAUAGUGCUUUUGAAGGUUGAGUUGGUGAAAAUUUAGGGGUUAUCUGUGUAACCAAACUGUUCCUUCAUAAGGUGGAGAAAUGGCAGGUACGCCAUCUGAAAAUGGAAUGUCCAAUUUGGCAGGUCACUGAGCUGGUGAUCUUUGAUACCUUGUCCAUUUUGAACUAUACUGGGUUGCUUUGCUGUGAGGGUUACCCCUUGUUGAGCAAGAGCAGCAAUUUUUUUACACCAGGAGAGCUUAUCUGCUAUUGAUCUUCAAAAUGAGGAAAUCUUUUUGUGAAUAAUAUUAGUUGUAUAGCUUGUAGAAAUCUAUAAUAAACAAGCUUGUACUUGGCUUAAAUCUAAGAAAGGCAAUAACAGUUUAAAAAAUUCAAACAACUCCUGGAAAGUAUUCCAAAUUUUCUACGAUCCUCCUGGAGAGAGUUGCAACAUCUGAUGUUCUGCAGGAAAAGUAUACUCUACUCACCUGGCCUGCUGUCGGCUACCAUCCCUGGCUAUCCUUUAAUGAACCAAAAACAGGGACGAGAGUUAAA
Molecule: unclassified non-coding RNA, 2321 nt
Filed under: Hevea brasiliensis (rubber tree)
Lineage: Eukaryota; Viridiplantae; Streptophyta; Magnoliopsida; Malpighiales; Euphorbiaceae
Source: RNAcentral